UGGGGAAUAUUGGACAAUGGGGGCAACCCUGAUCCAGCGAUGCCGCGUGAGUGAAGAAGGCCUUCGGGUCGUAAAGCUCUUUAGGUUGGGAAGAAGUAUAUUUGUUGAAUAGACGAGUAUAUUGACGGUACCGACAGAAUAAGCACCGGCAAACUCUGUGCCAGCAGCCGCGGUAAUACAGAGGGUGCGAGCGUUAAUCGGAGUUACUGGGCGUAAAGGGCGCGUAGGCGGUAAGGAUAGUGUGAUGUG
This 249-nucleotide ribosomal RNA is filed under the name uncultured Aquicella sp. Its description in RNAcentral is "partial 16S ribosomal RNA". It matches the Rfam family "Bacterial small subunit ribosomal RNA", at positions 355 to 596 of the family's 1533-position model. Lineage: Bacteria; Pseudomonadati; Pseudomonadota; Gammaproteobacteria; Legionellales; Coxiellaceae. The record is from RNAcentral.